AAUCUUCCGCAAUGGACGAAAGUCUGACGGAGCAACGCCGCGUGAGUGAAGAAGGUCUUCGGAUCGUAAAACCCUUUUGUUAGGGAAGAGCAAGUAUCGUUCGAAUAGGGCGGUACCUUGACGGUACCUAACCAUAAACCCACCGCUAAGUACGUCCCAGCAGCCGCGGUAAUACGUAGGUGGCAAGCGUUAUCCGGACUUAUUGGGCGUAAAGCGCGCGCAGGCGGUUUCUUAAGGCUGAUGUGAAAGCCCACGGGUCAACCGUGGAGGGUCAUUGGAAACUGGGAAGCUUGAGUGCAGAAGAGGAGAGUGGAAUUCCAUGUGUAGCGGUGAAAUGCGUAGAGAUAUGGAGGAACACCAGUGGCGAAGGCGACUCUCUGGUCUGCAACUGACGCUGAGGCGCGAAAGCGUGGGGAGCGAACA
Molecule: ribosomal RNA, 423 nt
Filed under: uncultured bacterium
Lineage: Bacteria
Description: partial 16S ribosomal RNA
Rfam family: Bacterial small subunit ribosomal RNA
Source: RNAcentral